GGUACAUGUUGCGCAAAAAUUAUUGGUCAGUGAUUUUGCUACAAGACCGACCUGAGAGAGACAGCGAGGCAUCAGAGCCAUGAUGAAGACUUUGUGUGUUGCUGUUGUUGUGCUGAGUCUCACCUCAGUGUGCCAGCCUGCGCCGCUGGUCUGUGAGAAGCUGCAGAAGAGAGUGGACAAAGCUACAGACUUGUCUGGGAGAUGGCACUGCAUAGCCAUCUCUACUGAGUUCUGUGUGGCUACAACAAUACUGAAUGCUAUUUAUUGGCCCAGCGUUGCAGUGGACUUUACCUCUAAGGACACACCGGACAUCUACACUGUCAACACAAAAUUUUAACUGUAGGAGGCAGAAUGUCUCUGCUGCUGAGCUGAAGGAGUUUGAGAAACAGGCAGAGUGCCUCGGCUUGACCAAUCUGCAGGUCCUAAACACAGAUCACGACUACAAAAACUGCUUAAGAGAGGAAAAAAUCACUAAUGCUCAUAUGAACGAAAUCAUGUUCAAAGGUCUUGAAAGGUUGAAAAACAAAGCCCUAGAUAUCAUGAAAUGUAUACCUCCACAGUUCCGUUUUGAGAGCUAAAUGGCGGGAAGGUUGAUACCAUAUCAGACAAACCUCUGAAUGAAUGCUACUUUUGAUUACUGAAUUGGAUUAAAAAAUAAAAUAAAGACUACCAUUCUA
Perca fluviatilis (European perch) is the source of this 677-nucleotide long non-coding RNA. RefSeq lists it as uncharacterized. The transcript is spliced from 4 exons. The record is from RefSeq and is a predicted model, not a curated record. Lineage: Eukaryota; Metazoa; Chordata; Actinopteri; Perciformes; Percidae.